Molecule: ribosomal RNA, 468 nt
Filed under: Eimeria alabamensis
Lineage: Eukaryota; Apicomplexa; Conoidasida; Eucoccidiorida; Eimeriidae
Description: SSU rRNA
Rfam family: Eukaryotic small subunit ribosomal RNA
Source: RNAcentral
ACGAGACCUUAGCCUGCUAAAUAGGAUCGGGAACCUUGGUUCUCGCAUCACUUCUUAGAGGGACUUUGCGUGUCUAACGCAAGGAAGUUUGAGGCAAUAACAGGUCUGUGAUGCCCUUAGAUGUUCUGGGCUGCACGCGCGCUACACUGAUGCAUGCAACGAGUUUUUGACCUUGGCCGGAAGGUCUAGGUAAUCUUUUGAGUAUGCAUCGUGAUGGGGAUAGAUUAUUGCAAUUAUUAAUCUUCAACGAGGAAUGCCUAGUAGGCGCAAGUCAGCAGCUUGUGCCGAUUACGUCCCUGCCCUUUGUACACACCGCCCGUCGCUGCAACCGAUCGGAGGGUCCUGUGAACUCGAUGGACAGCCUAUCCCCUUCUUGGGGUUGGGCUGGAAGUUGCGUAAAUAGCGCCCUCUAAAGGAUGCAAAAGUCGUAACACGGUUUCCGUAGGCGAACCUGCGGAAGGAUCAUUC